This 91-nucleotide transfer RNA is filed under the name Ruminiclostridium sp. RNAcentral's name for it is "tRNA-Ser". It matches the Rfam family "tRNA". Rfam says of the family: Transfer RNA (tRNA) molecules are approximately 80 nucleotides in length. Their secondary structure includes four short double-helical elements and three loops (D, anti-codon, and T loops). The record is from RNAcentral. Lineage: Bacteria; Bacillati; Bacillota; Clostridia; Eubacteriales; Oscillospiraceae.
GGAGAUGUCGCCUAGUUGGUCGAGGGCGCAUGAUUGGAAAUCAUGUAAACGGGAAACUGUUUCGAGAGUUCGAAUCUCUCCAUCUCCGCCA